RNAcentral lists this ribosomal RNA (449 nucleotides) under uncultured organism. RNAcentral describes it as "partial 16S ribosomal RNA". It matches the Rfam family "Bacterial small subunit ribosomal RNA", at positions 331 to 797 of the family's 1533-position model. The record is from RNAcentral.
GUACACUCCUGCGGGAGGCAGCAGUGGGGAAUAUUGGACAAUGGGCGCAAGCCUGAUCCAGCCAUGCCGCGUGAGUGAUGAAGGCCCUAGGGUUGUAAAGCUCUUUCACCGGUGAAGAUAAUGACGGUAACCGGAGAAGAAGCCCCGGCUAACUUCGUGCCAGCAGCCGCGGUAAUACGAAGGGGGCUAGCGUUGUUCGGAUUUACUGGGCGUAAAGCGCACGUAGGCGGACUAUUAAGUCAGGGGUGAAAUCCCGGGGCUCAACCCCGGAACUGCCUUUGAUACUGGUAGUCUUGAGUUCGAGAGAGGUGAGUGGAAUUCCGAGUGUAGAGGUGAAAUUCGUAGAUAUUCGGAGGAACACCAGUGGCGAAGGCGGCUCACUGGCGCGAUACUGACGCUGAGGUGCGAAAGCGUGGGGAGCAAACAGGAUUAGAAACCCGGGUAGUCCC